This 30-nucleotide non-coding RNA is filed under the name Mus musculus (house mouse). The record is from RNAcentral. Lineage: Eukaryota; Metazoa; Chordata; Mammalia; Rodentia; Muridae.
UGGCAGUUAUCAAAGGCCCUGUUCUUGUGU